GACGAACCGUCCGAACGUUAUUCGGAAUUAUUGGGCUUAAAGGGUGCGUAGGCGGCGCUGUAAGUCGGGUGUGAAAUCCCACGGCUCAACCGUGGAACUGCGCCCGAUACUGCAGUGCUCGAGGGAGACAGAGGUAAGCGGAACUGAUGGUGGAGCGGUGAAAUGCGUUGAUAUCAUCAGGAACACCGGUGGCGAAAGCGGCUUACUGGGUCUCUUCUGACGCUGAGGCACGAAAGCUAGGGUAGCGAACGGGAUUAGAAACCCCAGUAGUCC
Molecule: ribosomal RNA, 273 nt
Filed under: uncultured bacterium
Lineage: Bacteria
Description: partial 16S ribosomal RNA
Rfam family: Bacterial small subunit ribosomal RNA
Source: RNAcentral